Molecule: ribosomal RNA, 692 nt
Filed under: uncultured bacterium
Lineage: Bacteria
Description: bacterial SSU rRNA
Rfam family: Bacterial small subunit ribosomal RNA
Source: RNAcentral
AACGCUAGCUACAGGCUUAACACAUGCAAGUCGAGGGGCAGCAUAAAAGUAGCAAUACUUUGGUGGCGACCGGCGCACGGGUGAGUAACGCGUAUGCAACCUACCUAUCAGAGGGGGAUAACCCGGCGAAAGUCGGACUAAUACCGCAUAAAACAGGGGCACCGCAUGGUGCUAUUUGUUAAAAGUUUAUUGCUGAUAGAUGGGCAUGCGUUCCAUUAGGUAGUUGGAGAGGUAACGGCUCACCAAGCCAACGAUGGAUAGGGGAACUGAGAGGUUGGUCCCCCACACUGGUACUGAGACACGGACCAGACUCCUACGGGAGGCAGCAGUGAGGAAUAUUGGUCAAUGGGCGAGAGCCUGAACCAGCCAAGUCGCGUGAAGGAAGAAGGAUCUAUGGUUCGUAAACUUCUUUUGCAGGGGAAUAAAGUGCAGGACGUGUCCUGUUUUGUAUGUACCCUGAGAAUAAGGAUCGGCUAACUCCGUGCCAGCAGCCGCGGUAAUACGGAGGAUCCGAGCGUUAUCCGGAUUUAUUGGGUUUAAAGGGUGCGUAGGUGGUUUAAUAAGUCAGCGGUGAAAGUUUGCAGCUUAACUGUAAAAAUGCCGUUGAAACUGUUAGACUUGAGUGUAAAUGAGGUAGGCGGAAUGCGUGGUGUAGCGGUGAAAUGCUUAGAUAUCACGAAGAACUCCGAUUG